RNAcentral lists this ribosomal RNA (520 nucleotides) under uncultured bacterium. RNAcentral's name for it is "bacterial SSU rRNA". It matches the Rfam family "Bacterial small subunit ribosomal RNA", at positions 11 to 526 of the family's 1533-position model. The record is from RNAcentral.
GUUUGAUCAUGGCUCAGGACGAACGCUGGCGGCGCGCCUAAUACAUGCAAGUCGAGCGAGAACCAGGGCUUGCCCUGGGGAGAGCGGCGAACGGGUGCGUAUCACGUGAGCAACCUGCCUCGGAGACCGGAAUAACUCGAGGAAACUCGGGCUAAUGCCGGAUGCCCUCGUUGGACCGCAUGGUCCGGCGAGGAAAUGGAUUCCGCUCCGAGAUGGGCUCGCGGCCUAUCAGCUUGUUGGUGGGGUAACGGCCUACCAAGGCAACGACGGGUAGCUGGUCUGAGAGGACGAUCAGCCACACUGGGACUGAGACACGGCCCAGACUCCUACGGGAGGCAGCAGUGGGGAAUCUUGCGCAAUGGGCGAAAGCCUGACGCAGCGACGCCGCGUGAGGGAAGAAGGCUUUCGGGUUGUAAACCUCUUUCAGGAGGGACGAAGCUACUCGGGUUAAUAGCCCAGAGGGUGACGGUACCUCCAGAAGAAGCCCCGGCUAACUACGUGCCAGCAGCCGCGGUAAUAA